RNAcentral lists this ribosomal RNA (253 nucleotides) under uncultured bacterium. RNAcentral describes it as "partial 16S ribosomal RNA". It matches the Rfam family "Bacterial small subunit ribosomal RNA", at positions 524 to 776 of the family's 1533-position model. The record is from RNAcentral.
UACGUAGGGUGCAAGCGUUAAUCGGAAUUACUGGGCGCAAAGCGUGCGCAGGCGGUUGUGCAAGACAGAUGUGAAAUCCCCGGGCUCAACCUGGGAAUUGCAUUUGUGACUGCACGGCUAGAGUGUGUCAGAGGGGGGUAGAAUUCCACGUGUAGCAGUGAAAUGCGUAGAUAUGUGGAGGAAUACCGAUGGCGAAGGCAGCCCCCUGGGAUAACACUGACGCUCAUGCACGAAAGCGUGGGGAGCAAACAGG